GCUCUGCUGAUGGCAUGUUUGUGUGGGCACAAUUACCUACAGCUAAGGUACAACUGGCAGAGCCUUGAGGGUGCAGCCCCAGUCACAAGCAAAGGCACAAUUUGAUCGUCGACAGUGCACAGUUUCACAGGGCGCCCCGGGCAGCGCUGGCAGCGGGAUGGAACGUCUGAUGGCGUAUGUCCAUAAACAGUACCGGCUGCCCUCGCUGACACAGCAGUCGGGCCACACUGGAAGUCAUGCAAGGAGCCUAUCUGACAUCAGGAAUGACCUAAGAGACAGAAA
Long non-coding RNA from Brienomyrus brachyistius, 282 nucleotides. RefSeq lists it as uncharacterized. Lineage: Eukaryota; Metazoa; Chordata; Actinopteri; Osteoglossiformes; Mormyridae. The record is from RefSeq and is a predicted model, not a curated record. The transcript is spliced from 3 exons.